This is a non-coding RNA of Testicularia cyperi, 109 nucleotides long. NCBI's taxonomy places the organism in Eukaryota, Fungi, Basidiomycota, Ustilaginomycetes, Ustilaginales, Anthracoideaceae. The record is from the annotation of a GenBank genome assembly.
GCGUCGAUCGUAUAAUGGUUAUUAUUCCUGCCUUCCACUUCGUGAAACGGAAUAACAGCGUGUCCACUCGGUUCAGCAGGAGACAGGGGUUCGAUUCCCCUUCGACGCA